Molecule: long non-coding RNA, 665 nt
Organism: Ananas comosus (pineapple)
Lineage: Eukaryota; Viridiplantae; Streptophyta; Magnoliopsida; Poales; Bromeliaceae
Exons: 4
Source: RefSeq, a predicted model, not a curated record
GAACUAAAAGUGGUGCCCUCUUUCUUUGCUUGAACGAUGGACCCCUCCCCUCACCCCCACUUCUUCCAUCGUCGUUUACUCUUCCGUUUUUGCCGUUCUCAGAGCUGGAGUCGAAGCGUCCUCCAAACGGAAUUAGGCACGAUGGAUCCCUCCCCUCACCCCGACUUCUUCCAUCGUCGUUUCGUCUUUCUUCGCCGUUUUCGAAUUUGGAUUAAUCCACCAUGGCGAAGCGUUUCGAGCUGCCGAUUCCUAUACCCCCACGACUAUCCAUUCGGUUAUAUAAUGACAGCUCUAACAGUCAUUUUACCUGCAUCUGAUAACCUUUUUUUUUUUGCCCGAAAGGGACGGUGAUUUCGAACAGGUGUUCUACGUCGCUUUUGCGUUGCUUCUGUGUUACUUUAUCAGUCAAAGACAGAGGAAGUUUUGAAGCAAUCACGAGGGAAGAAAAAAGUGCGCAGUUUAAUCGACUCUUCUGAAUCUGAUGAAGAAGAGGAGUGAAGUACUCUCACGAAAGCUAUCAAAAGACCUAAUUUUUGUAAUAUUUAAAGGAUAUGCGUAAUAGAUAUCCUAUUACAAUUAACAUGUUAUGAUGAUAUUACUAUAUAUUGAUUUUAGUAUCAGCCUUAUUUUAUUGUUGUAUUAAAUGAUUAACGCCAUUUCUUUUC